GUGAUAAUAGGUGGAGCAGCGAGAGAACGGCGUCGUCGGAUUGUGGAGGGAAGAAAAGCAAGGAAGAGGGUGACGUGGCGGAGGAGCUGAAGAAAGCCUUGAAAGGAGCUUCUUGAUGGUAUUUGGUUAAGCUCUAAGCUCUAUGAUCUUGAGAGAGGAUAAAGCAUUUAUUCGAAUUGUACUAGAUUUUGUCUUCUUAGUUUAUCUUAUGGCUUUUGUAUAUAAUGCGUUAAGUUGCCGCUGGAUAUUGGAAAGAUUUUCAGAACUUGUUUUGGGAUAAUUCAAUGCAAUUGUAAG
RNAcentral lists this long non-coding RNA (297 nucleotides) under Brassica napus (rape). RNAcentral's name for it is "long non-coding RNA (BNAP_LNC003015)". Lineage: Eukaryota; Viridiplantae; Streptophyta; Magnoliopsida; Brassicales; Brassicaceae. The record is from RNAcentral.